Molecule: ribosomal RNA, 432 nt
Filed under: Lacconectus basalis
Lineage: Eukaryota; Metazoa; Arthropoda; Insecta; Coleoptera; Dytiscidae
Description: SSU rRNA
Rfam family: Eukaryotic small subunit ribosomal RNA
Source: RNAcentral
GAAUGCUUUUAUUAGAUCAAAACCAAUCGGCGGCGUGCGCGUUCGCGCGCCCGUUCGCCGCUCAACCUGGUGACUCUGAAUAACUUUCGGCUGAUCGCACGGUCCAGCACCGGCGACGCAUCUUUCAAAUGUCUGCCUUAUCAACUGUCGAUGGUAGGUUCUGCGCCUACCAUGGUCGUAACGGGUAACGGGGAAUCAGGGUUCGAUUCCGGAGAGGGAGCCUGAGAAACGGCUACCACAUCCAAGGAAGGCAGCAGGCGCGCAAAUUACCCACUCCCGGCACGGGGAGGUAGUGACGAAAAAUAACGAUACGGGACUCAUCCGAGGCCCCGUAAUCGGAAUGAGUACACUUUAAAUCCUUUAACGAGGAUCAAUUGGAGGGCAAGUCUGGUGCCAGCAGCCGCGGUAAUUCCAGCUCCAAUAGCGUAUAUU